AAAAUUUAAAGUAAAAUUAAUUAUUUUGGAAAAAAAAUUUAAUGCUAAUGACAUUAAUUGUAAAUAAGUCCAAAUCUAGGAUUUAUUUGCUAAAAUGGCUGCAAAAAUGUAUAUAUAAAUGGUUCAUGGAUAGACUUAUUCC
Molecule: small RNA, 142 nt
Filed under: Arabidopsis thaliana (thale cress)
Lineage: Eukaryota; Viridiplantae; Streptophyta; Magnoliopsida; Brassicales; Brassicaceae
Description: ATSL019290
Source: RNAcentral